Non-coding RNA from Arachis ipaensis, 1237 nucleotides. The record is from RefSeq and is a predicted model, not a curated record. Lineage: Eukaryota; Viridiplantae; Streptophyta; Magnoliopsida; Fabales; Fabaceae.
AAACCAAACCUUUAAAAAAAAACCAAUUUUAAACAAAAAAAAUCCAAACCAAACCAAAUUUAUUUUAUAAUUUGGUUUUAAGUCCAAUCCAUUUAAACGGUUUUAAUCCAAAUCCGGAUCCAGAUCCAGAUUAAAAUCCAAAUCUCACAAAACCCUAAUUCUUAACUUUUGAUUCUCAAAAAAUCCAGUUCCAGAGCACCGUCACGAUUCAUGAAUCCUUUUCUCCUUCGCCCGCAGCCGCCAGCCGGCACCGCCACACCGGAGCAGGCUUCUGGCACUGCAGUUUUGUAGCUGCCACCACCACCACAAGCGCGUCGCGCCACUGCUCUGUUCCGCCAUCCGCGGUUCCACCGUCCGCCUUUUCUCGCCGUGACCCAGCUCUGUUCUUCUCCGUUCUCUGGGUACCCUCAAGCAAGGUUGUGUGGUUGUCCUUUGGUCAAGUGUUGACGAUGAUUUCUCAGAAGUAGAAGGCUAUCUUGAGGGAAGUUUAUAAGAAGAAGAAGUACACGUCAAGCUCUUGAUCUCCACCCUAAGAAGUAAGAAGACAGAGCCAUUCGCAGAGGCUCACCAAGCACCAUGUAUUUGCCUUGCCUUGUGUUUAAAUUUUUUAAUUAGCUUUGAAUUUUGUUCCUGUUCAUUCAUCAUGCUACUCUGUUGUUGAGACAUUGCACCAGGUUUCUAGUUCUAGCAUACUGUUAAAGCAUAGGAUAUUUCACUUUGCUAAUGGUUUAUUGCUGAGGAUACAACACAUCAAAGUUCAUUGUUUGUUUACUGGGGAAGGGAUGCAAGUAUGAUUUUAUUAGGGAAUAGUUUAUAGUUGAUAGUUGCUUUUUAGCAGUAUUUUAUUCCCUGCCAAAGCUAAACAGAAAUAUAUGGAUGCAAAUUGUAAAAUUUUUAGUAAUGGUUAACAAUGGAUUUCCAGGUUUUUUGUGAUUUAAGACCAAGAGAAUUAUACUAAGAGAAAUCAGCUACUAAGAAUAAGGGUUAGGGUAGUUAGAAGCUCAAUCAUAUGAUAUAUAAACUGAAAUUAUGAAGCUGUAUUGGUUGAGUUUGUGUUGCUGGAUUUGUGCUUGAUUAUGUUAUGGCGAAUGUUUAAUUGAUCUUCUGAAUAUGUGAUUUUAUCUAUAUAUAUGCUUUUGUAGUUUUGCCUUUUGUUGUUGUUCAUUAUUUUUUUAUUUAUUUGUGUUUGCUUUAAAAAUAUAAUUGAACCUUGAAGAUUAUUUUACUAUCCGUGAAA